GACGAACGCUGGCGGCGUGCCUAAUACAUGCAAGUAGAACGCUGAAGAGAGGAGCUUGCCCUUCUUGGAUGAGUUGCGAACGGGUGAGUAACGCGUAGGUAACCUGCCUUGUAGCGGGGGAUAACUAUUGGAAACGAUAGCUAAUACCGCAUAACGAUGGAUGACACAUGUCAUUUAUUUGAAAGGGGCAAUUGUUCCACUACAAGAUGGACCUGCGUUGUAUUAGCUAGUAGGUGAGGUAAUGGCUCACCUAGGCGACGAUACAUAGCCGACCUGAGAGGGUGAUCGGCCACACUGGGACUGAGACACGGCCCAGACUCCUACGGGAGGCAGCAGUAGGGAAUCUUCGGCAAUGGGGGCAACCCUGACCGAGCAACGCCGCGUGAGUGAAGAAGGUUUUCGGAUCGUAAAGCUCUGUUGUAAGUCAAGAACGGGUGUGAGAGUGGAAAGUUCACACUGUGACGGUAGCUUACCAGAAAGGGACGGCUAACUACGUG
This 497-nucleotide ribosomal RNA is filed under the name uncultured bacterium. RNAcentral describes it as "partial 16S ribosomal RNA". It matches the Rfam family "Bacterial small subunit ribosomal RNA", at positions 28 to 507 of the family's 1533-position model. The record is from RNAcentral.